AUCGCUUCUCGGCCUUUUGGCUAAGAUCAAGUGUAGUCCUUUUUCAGCACCUAACAAUUUUAUGUAUCACUGUAAGGUGAAGAUUUUUUUAAAUGAAAAUAAAUAUUUUAUUGGUUUUUUCUUUUCUCCAUCU
Small nuclear RNA from Rattus norvegicus (Norway rat), 133 nucleotides. Ensembl annotates it as U2 spliceosomal RNA. Lineage: Eukaryota; Metazoa; Chordata; Mammalia; Rodentia; Muridae. The record is from Ensembl.